AUGGACCGGCCGACUACCGGCGGGCGGCGACAGGAGGCUCGCCCUUCUGAGAGGGAGAGAGAGAUGGAGGCGAGCAGCAGCCGGAGCCGGAGCGGAAGUCUCCCCUCGAAGCGGCGCAGCGGCGGCGGCGGCGGCGGUGGCGGGGGAAGCGGGUACGGGCUGACGGGGCAGUCGCUGAACGACGACACCCUCCGUUCCAUCUUCUCACGCGUGGACGACCACUUCGACCUCGCUCACUGCUCCGCCGUCUGCAAGUCAUGGCAUACGAUUAUCAGCACAGCCCAUGUGAUGAAGGAUCUAUAUUACAAGAGGAAUCCGCAGGCAAGAGGCUCGAGUUCUACUAUUUCAGUCAAAAGUUAUUUUGAGGCGCUUGCCAUGAAUGAGCACGCAUCAACUCUUGCUAGAGGGUCUGCUGAAGUUCAUCAGUGGAUUGGUCAUGAUAUGAGGGCCACCUUGUGCCGUAUGAAAAGCGGUUCAGUCUUAACUGGAAUGGGAGAUAAGGUUCUUCGACUUUGGUCUGCUGAAAGUUGCAAAUACAUGAAUGAGUACAAUGUCCCAAAUUCCAAAAUGUUGGUUGACUUCGAUUUUGAUGAAAAUAAGAUUGUAGGUUUAACUAGUUCCCAGGUUUGCAUAUGGAAACGCAGUGGACCAAGAAGUAUAUUUCAAUCUCGUGGAGACACAUUCAAUCAUGGGUUAUGCAUGAGUUAUGCCGAUCCAGAGGUUGUAAUUGGUUGUGAGGAUGGUAGAGCCUUUGUAUAUGACAUGUACAGCAGGAGUUGUUCGAGCAUUCACCGGCUUCACCCUUCCCCGGUGACAUGCUUGGCAGUAACAGAUGACCAGCUGAUCGUUGGUGGUUCUACAUUUGGAAAUGUAGCUAUUGCAGAUCAAACCUCAGGAGAGAGGUUAGGCCUUCUAAAGUCAGCUUUUGCACCAACAGUGAUAAGAUGCUUGUCUUUCAGUGCAAAUUCACACUUAAUAUUCGCGGGCUCAUCUUCUGGUUAUGCACAUUGCUGGGACUUAAGGACCCUGAGGCCUCUCUGGGAAACAAGAGUUAGCCCAAAUGUCAUCUACAGUGCACAUCAUUUGCCUGGUGACACUUCGAUGCUGGUGCUCGGUGGUAUUGAUGGAGUCCUACGCCUGGUAUGCCAGAGAACCGGUGAGACUAUUCGAAGCUUCAUCAUGGAUGCAGGCUACCCAGCACAGUCCAGCUCCAGGCCACAAGCUGAACAGAAGAAUGUCCGCCCAGCGGAAUCUGGCCCCAGGCAGCAAGUCGAAAAGAAGAGGGUCCGUGAAAUUGCUCCGGAUGCCCGGCUGGACAACAUUCCUAUGCACCUGCGCCCACCAAUCACCGGUCUGUCGGUCGGCAUGAAGAAGAUCGUGACCACGCACGGUGAAAACUACAUCCGCGUCUGGAAAUUUCACUCGUAG
Molecule: ribosomal RNA, 1428 nt
Filed under: Triticum aestivum (bread wheat)
Lineage: Eukaryota; Viridiplantae; Streptophyta; Magnoliopsida; Poales; Poaceae
Description: partial small subunit ribosomal RNA
Source: RNAcentral